Molecule: ribosomal RNA, 491 nt
Filed under: uncultured bacterium
Lineage: Bacteria
Description: partial 16S ribosomal RNA
Rfam family: Bacterial small subunit ribosomal RNA
Source: RNAcentral
GUGAACGCUGGCGGUAGGCCUAACACCUGCAAGUCGAACGGCAGCACAGUAAGAGCUUGCUCUUACGGGUGGCGAGUGGCGGACGGGUGAGGAAUACAUCGGAAUCUACUUUUUCGUGGGGGAUAACGUAGGGAAACUUACGCUAAUACCGCAUACGACCUACGGGUGAAAGCAGGGGAUCUUCGGACCUUGCGCGAUUGAAUGAGCCGAUGUCGGAUUAGCUAGUUGGCGGGGUAAAGGCCCACCAAGGCGACGAUCCGUAGCUGGUCUGAGAGGAUGAUCAGCCACACUGGAACUGAGACACGGUCCAGACUCCUACGGGAGGCAGCAGUGGGGAAUAUUGGACAAUGGGCGCAAGCCUGAUCCAGCCAUACCGCGUGAGUGAAGAAGGCCUUCGGGUUGUAAAGCCCUUUUGUUGGGAAAGAAAAGCAGCAGGUUAAUACCCCGCUGUUCUGACGGUACCCAAAGAAUAAGCACCGGCUAACUUCGUG